Molecule: unclassified non-coding RNA, 342 nt
Filed under: soil metagenome
Description: partial contains 5.8S ribosomal RNA, internal transcribed spacer 2, and large subunit ribosomal RNA
Rfam family: 5.8S ribosomal RNA (bases 1-120)
Source: RNAcentral
GAUGAAGAACGUAGCGAAAUGCGAUAAGUAAUGUGAAUUGCAGAAUUCAGUGAAUCAUCGAAUCUUUGAACGCACAUUGCGCCCGCCAGCAUUCUGGCGGGCAUGCCUGUUCGAGCGUCAUUUCAACCCUCGAGCCCCCCCGGGGGCCUCGGUGUUGGGGGACGGCACACCAGCCGCCCCCGAAAUGCAGUGGCGACCCCGCCGCAGCCUCCCCUGCGUAGUAGCACACACCUCGCACCGGAGCGCGGAGGCGGUCACGCCGUAAAACGCCCAACUUCUGAACGUUGACCUCGAAUCAGGUAGGACUACCCGCUGAACUUAAGCAUAUCAAUAAGCGGAGGA